Molecule: ribosomal RNA, 253 nt
Filed under: uncultured bacterium
Lineage: Bacteria
Description: partial 16S ribosomal RNA
Rfam family: Bacterial small subunit ribosomal RNA
Source: RNAcentral
GACGUAGGAUGCAAGCGUUGUCCGGAUUUAUUGGGCGUAAAGAGUUCGUAGGUGGUUCGUUAAGUCUGAUGUUAAAGACUGGGGCUCAACCCUGGAAGUGCAUUGGAUACUGGCGGACUUGAGUGUGGUAGAGGCAAUCGGAAUUCCAGGUGUAGCGGUGAAAUGCGUAGAUAUCUGGAAGAACACCGGUGGCGCAAGCGGAUUGCUGGGCCAUAACUGACACUGAGGAACGAAGGUCAGGGGAGCAAACGGG